RNAcentral lists this ribosomal RNA (954 nucleotides) under Erythricium aurantiacum. Its description in RNAcentral is "Marchandiobasidium aurantiacum partial 12S small subunit ribosomal RNA". It matches the Rfam family "Bacterial small subunit ribosomal RNA", at positions 393 to 1162 of the family's 1533-position model. The record is from RNAcentral. Lineage: Eukaryota; Fungi; Basidiomycota; Agaricomycetes; Corticiales; Corticiaceae.
CAGAUACCAUUUGAGAGGGUUGGGUGAUCUUGAGAUAACAUAAGGGAAAAUCAUGAUGGUACCUUAUUAUUAGUGCUGUCCAAAGCUGGUGCCAGAAGACUCGGUAAGGCCAGAAGCGCAAACGUUAGUAGUCUUAAAAAGGCGUAAAGGGUUCGUAGGCAGCUUUAACCUCUACUUUAACAAAAGCCUCUUAAUAAUACUAAUAUACCCCUUUCAAUUCUCUAAUAAUAGAGUUUUGAUUAAAAGGUUUACCCCCAGAUAACUCCACGUAAAGGCCAAUUAGUGCUAAGCACGGCUGGUUGUUAGACCAUUAUUAUGUAGUAAAGAUUAGACAAAUAAAAGCUAGAAUCAAAUAGAAGAUAUAUUAAAUAAUACUUAGAGGAGGGAUGAUAUCCUAAGAACCUAAGGGGAAUACUCAAGGCGUAAGCUAUUUUUCUACUAAUGAUUGACGCUGAGGAACGAAGGUGAGGAUAGGAAACAGGAUUAGAUACCCAAUUACCCCUCUCUGUCAACGAUGAAUGGUGGUCAUUAGGCGUUAAAAAACACUAGUGGCGAUGCUAACGCGAUAACCAUUCCGCCUUGUGAGUACGGCUGCAAAGUUGAAAACAAAAAAAUUAGUCGGUCUCGAAGCAAACGAAGUGAAGCAUGUUAUUUAAUACGAUAAUCCGCGUAAAACCUUACCAGUUCUUGCAUACAAACUCUUUAUUCUCCUAAAUCUCUCUAUAUUAAGGUAAAACUUUCUAAUUUACCAAAAAUGUCGUAAGAUGAGGGAGGCCCAAAUACUGAGGAGCUUAUAUAAAUUCAUUUUAUACUCUUAAGCUUAGUACAGGUGUUGCAUGGCUGUCGUCAGUCCGUAUUGUGAAAAGUUAGGUUAAAUCCACUAACGGACAAAAUCCCUGUUGUUAAUUUACACUUAACAAUUAAUGGUUCUGAUAGAGUCCAUUGGGCUAAGAC